This 100-nucleotide transfer RNA is filed under the name Candidatus Nitrosocaldus cavascurensis. Its description in RNAcentral is "tRNA-Lys". It matches the Rfam family "tRNA". Rfam says of the family: Transfer RNA (tRNA) molecules are approximately 80 nucleotides in length. Their secondary structure includes four short double-helical elements and three loops (D, anti-codon, and T loops). Lineage: Archaea; Thermoproteati; Nitrososphaerota; Nitrososphaeria; Candidatus Nitrosocaldales; Candidatus Nitrosocaldaceae. The record is from RNAcentral.
GGGCCUGUAGCUCAGCCAGGCAGAAUUGGGUGUGUUGAAUGCCUAAAGCGGCUGGCUCUUAACCAGUAGGCCGUGGGUUCGAAUCCCACCAGGCCCGCCA